This 290-nucleotide ribosomal RNA is filed under the name uncultured Alphaproteobacteria bacterium. RNAcentral describes it as "partial 16S ribosomal RNA". It matches the Rfam family "Bacterial small subunit ribosomal RNA", at positions 9 to 329 of the family's 1533-position model. The record is from RNAcentral. Lineage: Bacteria; Pseudomonadati; Pseudomonadota; Alphaproteobacteria.
GAGUUUGAUCCUGGCUCAGAACGAACGUUGGCGGCAGGCUUAACACAUGCAAGUCGAGCGCCCCGCAAGGGGAGCGGCAGACGGGUGAGUAACGCGUGGGAAUCUACCCAUCUCUACGGAACAACUCCGGGAAACUGGAGCUAAAUACCGUAUACGCCCCUCGGGGGAAAGAUUUAUCGGAGAUGGAUGAGCCCGCGUUGGAUUAGCUAGUGGUGGGUAAAGGCCUACCAAGGCGACGAUCCAUAGCUGGUCUGAGAGGAUGAUCAGCCACGAUUGGGACUGAGACACGG